RNAcentral lists this long non-coding RNA (207 nucleotides) under Elaeis guineensis (African oil palm). Its description in RNAcentral is "long non-coding RNA (EGUI_LNC010670)". The record is from RNAcentral. Lineage: Eukaryota; Viridiplantae; Streptophyta; Magnoliopsida; Arecales; Arecaceae.
CUAUGAAUGGACGAAAGCUCGAACAUACUUGCAUGCGACACAAGCACACGAAAUUUCAGAGACAUGAAUAAGGAGGGAACACGUUUACCCGGACAUUUAUUUAUGCAUGCUUAAAAUCUCCUUGAAAUCUAUGAUCUUCCGGUUCCUGUCGGACGGAAAGCUGCUUAAACCCGCACCGAAAGUGAGCAGUUGUCACUUGCUAAUUGC